Molecule: unclassified non-coding RNA, 339 nt
Filed under: soil metagenome
Description: partial contains 5.8S ribosomal RNA, internal transcribed spacer 2, and large subunit ribosomal RNA
Rfam family: 5.8S ribosomal RNA (bases 1-120)
Source: RNAcentral
GUUGAAGAACGUAGCGAAAUGCGAUACGUAGUGUGAAUUGCAGAAUUCAGUGAAUCAUCGAAUCUUUGAACGCACAUUGCACCUCUCGGUAUUCCGGGAGGUAUGCCUGUUCGAGCGUCAUUUGUACCCUCAAGCUCUGCUUGGUGUUGGGUGUUUGUUCCGCCUCUGUGUGUGAACUCGCCUCAAAACAAUUGGCAGCCGGCGUACUUGUUUCGGAGCGCAGCACAUUUUGCGAUCCAGAUCAACGUACAGCGGCAUCCAAGAAGCCUUAUUUAACGCUCUUGACCUCGGAUCAGGUAGGGAUACCCGCUGAACUUAAGCAUAUCAAUAAGCGGAGGA